Molecule: ribosomal RNA, 253 nt
Filed under: uncultured bacterium
Lineage: Bacteria
Description: partial 16S ribosomal RNA
Rfam family: Bacterial small subunit ribosomal RNA
Source: RNAcentral
GACGUAGGGCGCGAGCGUUGUCCGGAUUUAUUGGGCGUAAAGAGCUCGUAGGCGGCUUGUCGCGUCGUCCGUGAAAACCUGUGGCUCAACUGCAGGCUUGCGGUCGAUACGGGCAGACUAGAGUACUGCAGGGGAGACUGGAAUUCCUGGUGUAGCGGUGGAAUGCGCAGAUAUCAGGAGGAACACCGGUGGCGAAGGCGGGUCUCUGGGCAGUAACUGACGCUGAGAAGCGAAAGCGUGGGGAGCGAACAGG